This 505-nucleotide ribosomal RNA is filed under the name uncultured bacterium. Its description in RNAcentral is "partial 16S ribosomal RNA". It matches the Rfam family "Bacterial small subunit ribosomal RNA", at positions 30 to 523 of the family's 1533-position model. The record is from RNAcentral.
AUUGAACGCUGGCGGCAUGCCUUACACAUGCAAGUCGAACGGCAGCACAGGAGAGCUUGCUCUCUGGGUGGCGAGUGGCGGACGGGUGAGGAAUACAUCGGAAUCUACUCUGUCGUGGGGGAUAACGUAGGGAAACUUACGCUAAUACCGCAUACGACCUACGGGUGAAAGCAGGGGACCUUCGGGCCUUGCGCGAUUGAAUGAGCCGAUGUCGGAUUAGCUAGUUGGCGGGGUAAAGGCCCACCAAGGCGACGAUCCGUAGCUGGUCUGAGAGGAUGAUCAGCCACACUGGAACUGAGACACGGUCCAGACUCCUACGGGAGGCAGCAGUGGGGAAUAUUGGACAAUGGCGCAAGCCUGAUCCAGCCAUACCGCGCGGGUGAAGAAGGCCUUCGGGUUGUAAAGCCCUUUUGUUGGGAAAGAAAUCCAGCUGGCUAAUACCCGGUUGGGAUGACGGUACCCAAAGAAUAAGCACCGGCUAACUUCGUGCCAGCCGCCGCCGUAA